ACGUAAUAGAUACCCUGGUAGUCCACGCCCUAAACGAUGUCUACUAGUUGUCGGGUUUUAAUUAACUUGGUAACGCAGCUAAACGCGUGAAAGUAGACCGCCUGGGGAGUACGGUCGCAAGAUUAAAACUCAAAGGAAUUGACGGGGACCCGCACAAGCGGUGGAUGAUGUGGAUUAAUUCGAUGCAACGCGAAAAACCUUACCUACCCUUGACAUGGCAGGAAUCCCGAAGAGAUUUGGGAGUGCUCGAAAGAGAACCUGCACACGGGUGCUGCAUGGCUGUCGUCAGCUCGUGUCGUGAGAUGUUGGGUUAAGUCCCGCAACGAGCGCAACCCUUGUCAUUAGUUGCUACGAAAGAGCACUCUAAUGAGACUGCCGGUGACAAACCGGAGGAAGGUGGGGAUGACGUCAAGUCCUCAUGGCCCUUAUGGGUAGGGCUUCACACGUCAUACAAUGGUACAUACAGAGGGCCGCCAACCCGGCGAGGGGGAGCUAAUCCCAGAAAGUGUAUCGUAGUCCGGAUUGUAGUCUGCAACUC
Molecule: ribosomal RNA, 538 nt
Filed under: uncultured bacterium
Lineage: Bacteria
Description: bacterial SSU rRNA
Rfam family: Bacterial small subunit ribosomal RNA
Source: RNAcentral